AUUGAACGCUGGCGGCAGGCCUAACACAUGCAAGUCGAACGAGUGGCGGACGGGUGAGUAAUGUCUGGGAAACUGCCUGAUGGAGGGGGAUAACUACUGGAAACGGUAGCUAAUACCGCAUACCAUCGGAUGUGCCCAGAUGGGAUUAGCUUGUUGGUGGGGUAACGGCUCACCAAGGCGACGAUCCCUAGCUGGUCUGAGAGGAUGACCAGCCACACUGGAACUGAGACCCGGUCCAGACUCCUACGGCAGGCAGGCGUGGGGACUAUUGCACAAUGGGCGCGAGCCUUCUGCAGCCAUGCCGCGUGUAUGAAGAAGGCCUUCGGGUUGUAAAGUACUUUCAGCGGGGAGGCGUUACCCGCAGAAGAAGCACCGUCUAACUCCGUGCCAGCAGCCGCGGUAAUAC
Molecule: ribosomal RNA, 406 nt
Filed under: uncultured bacterium
Lineage: Bacteria
Description: partial 16S ribosomal RNA
Rfam family: Bacterial small subunit ribosomal RNA
Source: RNAcentral